UUACGGCCACAUCACGUUGAAACAUUGGUUCCCGCAUGAUCACCGAUGUUAAGCAACAUCGAGCCUGGUCAGUACCUAGAUGGGUGACCGCUUGGGAAUACCAGGAGUUGUAAG
This is a non-coding RNA of Acanthosepion pharaonis, 114 nucleotides long. Lineage: Eukaryota; Metazoa; Mollusca; Cephalopoda; Sepiida; Sepiidae. The record is from the annotation of a GenBank genome assembly.